GCGGAGGGUUCUUUAGUUCCUCUUUUUCUGGAAACCCCGAAGCCCUCCCCCCUCCCUUCUCCUGCCGCCUUCCCAUUGUUCCCUGCACUUGGGACAGCUGGAGACGGUGGCCUGCACAACCCAACACCCCCACCCCACCCCACCCCUCCGCACACCCGGAGGCCGCAGAGCCUACUCCUGGGCCCUCGGAUAAAUCCACUGCAGGCCAGGCGGGGAAACGCUGAGAGUACCCUGCUUUUUUAUCCGCCCUGGCGAAGGGAGGGAGCUCUGCUCCCCCAAAGAGGGCCCGGUGCUACCAAGUGACUGCCUCUGUCGGCGCUGCUUCCCAACGACAUCUUCCUCUGGUCGGGGCUUAAACUCUUUUGUUUAGUUAGUUUUAAUUUACAGGGGCUGACGGUGGGAGCCCCAGAGGCCUAGGGUGGCUACGGCUACGUAACCUGCCCUAGUCUUGAGGGCCUGAGUAGGUUGCAAGACGCAGCUGGUGACUUCGUGGGGAAGAUGAGUUUGGGGGGUGGCAAAGAAGAGAAUCCGGGCUUCUCCCGUGAUUCCUCCAAAGACACAGUAGGUGGGGAGAAGUCAGUCACUUGGAGUGCCCCUAUGCUAGAGGAUAGGCCCUGCAGACACCCCCUCAAAAUUGGUUGCUCUCCAGGCUCUCCACCAGGUUCUCUGGAGAGAAGUAGUUCCAGGACUCAGCAGUGCACUGGAGACCACAGGCCUAUCAGGGCCAAGAUCAGGAUGGCGGCAGCGGUGGUUCUUCUCAAACCCUGCUACCAUCCUCAGAGCUCAAUCCACUGGAGUGCCUGGUGCCUCGAGUUCCUAAUAAGCCACCAAAGCGACCCCUGGUUUAGCCUUGAGCUGAGAAGGAGGGAGGAAGGGAAGGAGUGUCCCACGGGCUGGAGCUCUAGCGCAGAGUAGAAAGAACGCAAGGCAGGGGACGUGGAGCCGGAGCGAGGCCGGGGGAGGGGACCUGCCGCCCUCAGCUUCUCAGGCAACCGGGUCUCUCCAUAGCAACGGCCGGCGAGUGAGUUAGCACUCCUCCUCCUCCUCCUCCUCCUCCUCCUCCUCCUCCUCCCUCUCUCCUCUUUCUCCCUUCUUCUUUCUCUUUCUCCCUCCCCCCCACAGGACUUGGAGAAUGGAUCACAGAAUACUGCGGCCAGAAACACAGACUUCCUAGCUGUGAUGAGAGGUUCAGCAUCCCAGGUGCCCGGUGUGUACCCUUAGGGAUCGGGAUCCUUCACUCAGCAGCAGUGCGAGGACACGCCAUGUCCCACGCUCACCCUUUGAGAUGCCAAGGUACCUGGCUUUCCUAUUGCAGUCACAGCACCUUAAGGACAUGGAGGCGCAUCGGGGAACAUAGGGGUCUGACAGCCCAGGGCAAGACGCCCGCACCAGGCGCCCUCGAGAUCUGGGCGGGGCAGCGGAGUCGGGGGGCGCGCGGCCCGAGCUGAUAGGAACGCGCACAGCCUCCGGGAGUUCGCGGCCCAGUGUGUUCCAGCCCCAGAGCCAGCGUGGCGCGAACUCAGUGGGAUGCGGUGCACUGAGAGGAUCCCAAAGGCCACGAGGCGCCUGGCACACCCCAAGACGCGGCUCAGCGCCAUCCUCCUGUCACACCCCACUUGCUUUUCUCCAUUUCAAUGGUCCCGAGCCACAAGCAGGUGUGGGAUACAAUCCCUCUGCUCCAAGUGGCACUGACCCAUUGGAGGUCAAUUCGGACAACGGCUGGCCGGCUGGAGAGGGCCAGGGCCCAGGUCAGAUGCAAGCCAGAGCAGGACGCGCUGCCCCUGCAGGCAGCCAGCUUGGUUUUCCACAAGCAUCAAGAGACGUGGAAAUCUGUAAGUAGAGGCAUUUGUUUUACUUUAGUUUCCCAGUGUCCCAAAGGGUUCCUGCCAUGUCUGAGCACCACGCUUCGGAUUUAAUCGGAAUCCAAUGGCCGACCUGCCUUUCCCCGUGCUUUGAGGAAGGAUGGAUACAGAGGUGCAUUAUCUUGUAUUUUAGUCAUCUUUUCAAUAAUGAAAUGGCCUUAAAGCCUCCGUGCAGUUAUUUCUAUCUAGAAAAGUGUAUCUCCUCACUGGUGACCCUUACUGCUUCUCACGCCUCUGGGGGCUGUUGCCUCGGGUAGCCGGGCCCUGCAGUGGAAAGCCCCAGACCCACAUUCUGGCUGCAGAGGACAUGGAGCAGGUCCACUCUGAAAGCCAGGCACACACGCUGUCCAAGGGGUUAAGGGAAGAGUUUGGACUUCACGUGCUGACUCCUUUUGCCUAGAAACUGAUAAACCAACCCAGAAGGUUCUUGUUUCCCUCCCUUCCUUUUAAAUUUAUUUUCUGGACAGGGAAAGACCCUUAUGAAAGUUUCUCAACAGUGAUAAUUCAGCAAUCCUCAAGAAGGAUAGUGAUUUUUUUUUCAAAACCACAAAAUAAUUAUACAUGAUUUCAGAAACAUUUCUAGAAAAACUUAAACAAGACAAAAUAUGCAUGAGAUAUGUUGCUUGAAAUCUUUUAUAGACGACAAAUGGGUAUAUUAUUUAUAUAGAAGUUAGGAAUGUUUGGCCGAUGAAUAAAUUUAAAAAAGUAGCAUAUGUAAAACUCUCAGAACCUACAAAAUUCCCAAGCAAUACAGUUUAAAGUGAUUUGUUGGUCUCUGCUAAUUCUUCAUUGCUUAAAGUGCAUUUUACAUUUGUCCUGUGUGAAGCUAACUUGCUGUGAUAAGAAUCUCAUUUUCAAUUUAGGGACCAGAGUAGCCUUGAAGAGCACUCAGCUAAGUGAUUACAGUCACUCUCCAGCACACGGACUUAUUAAAGAAAAUGUAGUUUUAAGCAAAAUAGAGAAAGGCUGUUCUGGAAGACGCACUUGUGGCAAUGCAAAACACUGUCUCAGGAAGUUUAAAUGGUGUGGUCAAGGUGGAGAAUGAUUUUCAAAGUGCUUGAUUUCAGGAAACUAAACCAACUGGUUUUUUUUUUGUUUUUUUUUUUUUUUUUUUUUUUUUUUUUUUUAGCAAACACUAAUUUAUAAUUAUAGCUCACAUGUAAUAUUUAACAUACCUUUGAUUUGGGAAUCCAUUUAUAAAAUGUUUAAAUUAUGAAUUCAAAAGGAACCAGAGUUUUAAUGGCAAUGAUUAUUAUUAUUUUGGUAGCACUUUUCUCACCUCUACGAAAGAGAUGUUUUUGGCAAGCAGAAUGUCCAACUGGGUCAGCUUCUCAGGGAGCUAGGGUGCUUUGCAUGUUCUCAGCUCAGUCUGGGGACGGCUCCCUUUACCCCUUGUCAGUGAGGGUUUUUUGUUCAUUUGUUUGUUUGUCGAGGGCCAUCAGCAGAUCAGCAGAUGGUGUUACAGGGCCAGCCACCCAGCCUUGCAGACUGUGAGCAAACUUCACCCCACCAUCAGACUCAGCUCAAGAACAGGUGUUUCCUGGGAGUGGAGGGCUGAGGCUGCUAUCUGAGUAGUUAUCAGGUGCAGCUCUUCAGGCAGUGUCCUCACUUUUUAAAGUCAGGAGGAACUAAGACAUCCUGAAAUUAGUCACUCAAAUAUUUUACUUGAAUUUAGGGGGAAACAAAUAAUUCUUGAAUCAACACAGAAAAAUGGAAAUCAUUUUGGGGGGCAUGAGAAGGGGAAGAGAAUUGCCAACACAAGCCGGCUUUCAUUAUUAGUUCUAGCAUUGGCUCAUAUUCUCAUUGGUCUAAAGUUUUGUAAAUGGAAAAAAAUAGGGAUGACACUAUGGAAUAAGGCCUAUGUUUCCUCUGCAGCUUAACAUAGUUACAUGAAGCUGUGCCCCUAAAAAUAAAAAAGUACUGGCUGGAGAGAUGGCUCUCUGGGUAAAGGCGUUUGCUGCCAAGCUUGGUGGGAGGGGAGAGUCGCCUCCUGCAAGUUGUCCUCUGCAGUGGGCAUGCAUACACUCACCAUUCAACACGUGAGUGCAAAAAUUAUUUAAAUAAAAAGUGUGCUUCAGCAGAAGUUUAUGGUUGAUAGAUUGGUUAGCAAAUACAUGGUGAUUUUGUAGACUUUUCUUUCCAGAAACUUUGAAAUUAUAAUUCAAAGGACAUGACAAGCCCCAGGCCUUUGUUAUUGCUGUUAUUAGUUUUGCCCAUUAAAGGCAGUGUUCUAAAGGCCAUGUGCUCGUGGGGCAGUCACUUACAAACAGAGUGGUGUCCCUGGAGGUUCAUCUGGUGUUAUUCUCAGAUUCCAGAAAGUCUACAAGAUGAAUGACUGUUUCCCUCACUGGGAAGAUCUAGCCAUUUAUUAUUCACAAAUAAUACCGUAAAUGCAUAUUUAAUGGUUGGUAUUCAGGAUAGUGUGUCUAUUGUAUGCUUAUGACUAGAUUUUUAUUCCUCACAAAUUUGGGCUAAAAUUUCUUUGACCGAGCCUUUGUAAGAAAGACUCAUUACCACAGGAACAGAGACCUAACUUCUUUAAAAGUGGCUAAGUAGUACCAUUGUGUUCCAGUGAAUGGAAACAAGAUGCCUCUGUAGAGAAUUUCCAGGGUCUCUCUAUUUUUUUCUGUUAAGCUCUCUUUCAUGGGUCUUGUCAGGUAUGGACCACAAGUCCAGUAUGAUUGUUGGGAAACAGCUCCUUCCUGGAAUUGCUUUGGAAUUAAAAGUAGAACAACCAUUGAGGAAAUAGGCUCCGAUUGAUUGAAUGAACAGCCACAGUCCAGCAAGCUUGCCUUCCUGUGAGGAGUCUACAAAGGAGUCACUGUGAAGUGGCUGUUCUGAUAUUCUAUUGCAGAUGAAGAUGUCAGCCCAGGCAGUCCGGAUUAAUCUCCACAGCCCUCUACCUAGUGGCAUGCUCCGUCCAUUUGGCCAUGUGAACUGCUCCUCGUGAGAGCACAGGCCAGCUGGAAAUGGGGCUUCCCUCACGACCACUCUCUCCCCCGAGGCCUGCAGCCAUCUUUCACCUACUUGGCAUCUGGUGUGGAAUCCCUUGGCUUCAUAAAAAUGAUACAGACUUGUUGUCAUUUUACAUACAUGUGGCUGUGGUCUCCCUUUCUGUAGUUUGUUAUCUACAAUAAAUUGUAGACCAGAAGUCUUAAAUGGAAAAUUCCAGAAAUAAAAACAAUUCAUGAGUUUAAAAUUA
This is a long non-coding RNA of Peromyscus leucopus (white-footed mouse), 5064 nucleotides long. RefSeq lists it as uncharacterized. NCBI's taxonomy places the organism in Eukaryota, Metazoa, Chordata, Mammalia, Rodentia, Cricetidae. The transcript has 3 exons. The record is from RefSeq and is a predicted model, not a curated record.